RNAcentral lists this transfer-messenger RNA (373 nucleotides) under Flavobacteriales bacterium. It matches the Rfam family "transfer-messenger RNA". Rfam says of the family: Bacterial tmRNA, also known as 10Sa RNA or SsrA, is named for its dual tRNA and mRNA-like properties. The record is from RNAcentral. Lineage: Bacteria; Pseudomonadati; Bacteroidota; Flavobacteriia; Flavobacteriales.
GGGGCUGACUGGUUUUGACUACAAGUUUGAAGUUAACCGUAAGCAUGUCGAGCAUUGUUUGUUGGCUCGUAAAUAUCAAUGUACACACUUUUAAAUGGCGAGUAUAACUACGCUAUGGCUGCCUAAUUAUAGUAAUUAGGACGCCUUUGCUUCCGAAUGAAAGAGGGCUCGAAGCUUUCGUUCUUAUGAAGCAUCAUAAAAAGAUUGAGCUAGUUUUUUAGGGCUUCGACUAAAAAGCGAAACUAAAGAAGAUAAGGUUGGAGUAUGGUUGUGUUUUUUCCUUACCCUUCCCGACAAUUAAAAAGCAAUACACAUGUAGAAAGCGCUUAAGUUCCUUGUUUGGACGCGGGUUCGAUUCCCGCCAGCUCCACUA